Pristis pectinata (smalltooth sawfish) is the source of this 803-nucleotide long non-coding RNA. RefSeq lists it as uncharacterized. Lineage: Eukaryota; Metazoa; Chordata; Chondrichthyes; Rhinopristiformes; Pristidae. The transcript has 4 exons. The record is from RefSeq and is a predicted model, not a curated record.
CAACCAAGAGCGACGCUGGCCGCCUCGCACACCUCGCUAGAGGACAGAUCGGGGUUCUUUUCCUGACCUUGUGACUUCCAUCGUCGAAAUGUCGGCCCCAGACACGUUGAAUCGGUUUGAAUUGACCGGUCCGCAAGACAAAGAUCACAAUAAGAAACCAAAAAGGAAAACCAAGCCACAGCAGGAUAAUUGGAGCAGGUUUCGGGAGCUGUACCUGGCGGUCAGCGUCUCCGCUUUUUUAGACCGGUGUAUGGAGGAGAAAUACGGGAAGCCGAGACCGCGAUGAAGAUAGACGCGGAGGGAACUGCAACACUAUCAAAUAUGCGGAAACGUAUCCCACACACAGAGUCCAAGAGGGUUAGAGCGGGAAAGGCAGAGAGACGAGAGAGAGGGAGUUUGUUCAGAAAGAGUUGUACAGAAAGAAAGAAAGAGGGAGUUUGUUCAGAAAAAGGCACAGAGGGACUGAGGAAGCGAAGGACAGUGAUGAAGCAGGAGCAGAAUCCGCCAUACUGCGCUCCUUUUGGAGCUAAAUUGUUCCUAUCUGCGUGUGCAUUGACAGUACAGAGUCGUGCGGGUCAGAACUUGGUGCAUUGCCAAGUUUGGGGAGAGAACAGACAGCGUUUCAGGCCUCAGAGCGAGGUUCCAUCAGCCCGGGCAACGUGUGUGUUGGAUACGCUCCCGCAUUGGAGAGUGGAGCGCGGUUCCUGGCCGGUGUCUGUGUCUGCAUUCAUUCAGUUUUCUCUCCAAUGUGUGACUCUGUUCGCCGGUGGAACACACACGCACAAUAAAGAAGCCAUACUUCA